GACGAACGCUGGCGGCGUGCCUAAUACAUGCAAGUUGAGCGCUGAAGGUUGGUACUUGUACCAACUGGAUGAGCAGCGAACGGGUGAGUAACGCGUGGGGAAUCUGCCUUUGAGCGGGGGACAACAUUUGGAAACGAAUGCUAAUACCGCAUAAAAACUUUAAACACAAGUUUUAAGUUUGAAAGAUGCAAUUGCAUCACUCAAAGAUGAUCCCGCGUUGUAUUAGCUAGUUGGUGAGGUAAAGGCUCACUAAGGCGAUGAUACAUAGCCGACCUGAGAGGGUGAUCGGCCACAUUGGGACUGAGACACGGCCCAAACUCCUACGGGAGGCAGCAGUAGGGAAUCUUCGGCAAUGGACGAAAGUCUGACCGAGCAACGCCGCGUGAGUGAAGAAGGUUGUCGGAUCGUAAAACUCUGUUGGUAGAGAAGAACGUUGGUGAGAGUGGAAAGCUCAUCAAGUGACGGUAACUACCCAGAAAGGGACGGCUAACUACGUG
Molecule: ribosomal RNA, 497 nt
Filed under: uncultured bacterium
Lineage: Bacteria
Description: partial 16S ribosomal RNA
Rfam family: Bacterial small subunit ribosomal RNA
Source: RNAcentral